UACGGAGGGGGCUAGCGUUGUUCGGAAUUACUGGGCGUAAAGCGCACGUAGGCGGCUUUUUAAGUCAGAGGUGAAAGCCCGGGGCUCAACCCCGGAAUUGCCUUUGAGACUGGAUCGCUUGAAUCAUGGAGAGGUCAGUGGAAUUCCGAGUGUAGAGGUGAAAUUCGUAGAUAUUCGGAAGAACACCAGUGGCGAAGGCGGCUGACUGGACAUGUAUUGACGCUGAGGUGCGAAAGCGUGGGGAGCAAACAGG
RNAcentral lists this ribosomal RNA (253 nucleotides) under uncultured bacterium. Its description in RNAcentral is "partial 16S ribosomal RNA". It matches the Rfam family "Bacterial small subunit ribosomal RNA", at positions 524 to 776 of the family's 1533-position model. The record is from RNAcentral.